GAUCCUGGCUCAGGACGAACGCUGGCGGCGUGCCUAACACAUGCAAGUCGAACGGGGUCGGCCCCGCAAGGGACUGACUUAGUGGCGAACGGGUGAGUAACGCGUGAGCAACCUGCCUUUCAGUGGGGGACAACAGUUGGAAACGACUGCUAAUACCGCAUAAAGCAUUUUGACCGCAUGAUCGAGAUGCCAAAGAUUUAUUGCUGAAAGAUGGGCUCGCGUCUGAUUAGAUAGUUGGUG
RNAcentral lists this ribosomal RNA (240 nucleotides) under uncultured bacterium. RNAcentral describes it as "partial 16S ribosomal RNA". It matches the Rfam family "Bacterial small subunit ribosomal RNA", at positions 15 to 254 of the family's 1533-position model. The record is from RNAcentral.